UCUUUGAAGGAUUGAGCUCCGGUGUGAUUGUGGAAUCCCUGAAGGUGGUUAGCUUGCAAGGAUUUGCCUCAAUUUUGGAGCCUAACCUCUGCAGAAUUGUAUCAUUUAAUUGUGAAAGAAAGCUUUGGAGGAGAACAUAAUUGUGUAUCUGGAAACUGGUUGUGGAAAGACCUAAAUAGCCGUGUUGCUUAUGUAUGAACCAGUUGAUACUCAAACCUCAGAAGAACAUGUGUGCUAAAUCCUGAAGAUCUUUGUGGUAUAUAUGGAUCAAAUUGCUCCCAAUGGAUUAUUGCAAUGGAGUAUUAGAAAGAAUGUGGCUAUCAUGAAGCC
This 330-nucleotide long non-coding RNA is filed under the name Rosa chinensis. Its description in RNAcentral is "sRNA RchiOBHm_Chr5g0046311". The record is from RNAcentral. Lineage: Eukaryota; Viridiplantae; Streptophyta; Magnoliopsida; Rosales; Rosaceae.